Molecule: ribosomal RNA, 253 nt
Filed under: uncultured bacterium
Lineage: Bacteria
Description: partial 16S ribosomal RNA
Rfam family: Bacterial small subunit ribosomal RNA
Source: RNAcentral
UACGUAGGGUGCGAGCGUUGUCCGGAAUUAUUGGGCGUAAAGGGCUCGUAGGCGGUUUGUCGCGUCGGGAGUGAAAACCUCGGGCUUAACUCGGGGCUUGCUUUCGAUACGGGCAGACUGGAGGUAUGCAGGGGAGAACGGAGUUCCUGGUGUAGCGGUGAAAUGCGCAGAUAUCAGGAGGAACACCGGUGGCGAAGGCGGUUCUCUGGGCAUGACCUGACGCUGAGGAGCGAAAGUGUGGGGAGCGAACAGG